CAAAGUCUUUCCUCUACCUUCUACUAAAAGAUCCUUAUAUAGAAUGGACCUGAAGAAAAGUCUAAUAUUUAUGACGUAAGUGCUUACGUCAUGUUACAUUAUUGAACCGACAUUGGGGUCCUAACUUUAUAAAAGCUUACAAUCAUCUUAACUUUUGUAAAAGUUAGAGUUUUAUCAACUAGUCUUUUCUAGUCUCCUUCCCCUUUAGCGUGUCUGAACUAGAAGAUUCUUCUAUCUGAUUCCUGAACUGUUGAAGAAAUAUUUCAAUGUCCAUCUCUUCUGCGCUAUGAAUUCUUUGGGAUUCUCCAGCUAUAAAGGUGUCUUCUUCUUCAUUUGAGGUAGCCAUAGAUAUAUUAUUCGAAAAUUUCAUGCCCAUAUUUUUUAUUAGAUCUUUUUUGACUUCUUCCAUGUAUGAAGUAAGAAGUUUCAAUUUUGAGAUGGCUCCUUUCUUCAUCUGUAGCCUUCUGGUUAUUAAUUUGAAAGGAUUGAUAUCAUCUCGACCUUGUAUGACUUCUGAUUAACGCUUGUUGAUCUCGAUAGAGUCUUUAAUGGAGUUUAUAAUCUCCUGUCCAUUUCAUUAUCCAUGGAGCAUAGAAUUAUAUGAAAAAUUACAUCAAUGACAUUUCUUUAAAAAUGACAUCAUCUUUUUGUAAUUUUAUCAAUUUAGGUGAUACAUCAACCCAUUCAACAUAUAACAUUUUGUAUUCCUCUGGCAAUAUAUUUAUAGAUGGACCAUAUAAAAUCCACCAUUGACAAAACCAAUUUGGUAUAUGCUGCUUAUAAACGUGAGAGCAUAUUUUUAUAAACUAUGAAUGAUUUCUAUUAGAGUUUUCAUAUAACAAGGUAUUAUUAAAGCUCUCAAUAUAAUCCCAGUAAUUAAACUUGAGUGCAAUUUUUUGUUAUGGAUGGGUGCAUUCUCUUUCUUUCAUCGUGCUUAUUCCCCAUUCUUCUGGGGGUGAAUAUCAUUUUUCUAAUGAAUUUUGAAAUUAUAAACCUUUUUAGUAUUGGCUAGGUAAAAGUGCUCAAAUUCAGCUAACUCAAUAGAUGAGAGUAUUAUCUCAUAAUAUAUUCUGUAUUUAUAAGUUGGGACAAUAUAUGAUGUUGUAUCAAAAUACCUGGUCAUUCUUUGCCAUGGAUCGUCUUUCCAAUGUAAAUAUAUGGGCUCAAGAAGAAGUCUUACCUUAUCUUUCUCAUUUUUAUCAUAUACUUCAAUAUUUUCAUUUCCUUCGUCAGUUACAACUGAAGAAUAGGAUGGUGGGUUAUUACCCUGAGCUUGUUUGGAUUGUAUAAAAUUCAUAAAUUCUUUGUACAUUUGAUGUUCAAUGUCAAUUCCCAAUGUGCUUGUAUAUGCUCCUGCAAUGUUUGAAGUUGUUAGCUUCUGGUUUCCUAUUUAGGCCAAGAUAUUAUUUCUUCCCAUGAGUGCUUUUCCUCUUCCUUCCUCUAUUAGAGGAAGAAUUUCCCGAUGGCCGCAUCAAUCCUGGUAUUAAUAGAUAAAGAGUUAUUAACUUAAAUAUUCUCUAGUAAAAAAAUCGGGAAGACUAUUAUAUGUUCCCUUUUUAUAAUGUAUUUCAAAAUCAAAAGGUGCUAACAAAGCUUUCAAUCUUACAAACAUUUGUUUUGAAACAUCAUGUUUUACAUAUGUAUUAAAGAUGAAUUUCUCUGCUUGACACUUAUGAUAAAUUUUUGAUUAUAUAAAUCUCUUUGAAAUUUUAAAACACUUUUAACUAUAGCCAAAAUUUCUUUACCUAUAGUAGAUAUUUUUUUAAAUAAUAUUCCAUUUUCCAGAAUAGAAGUGUAUGAUAUAUUCUUGUUUUUUCAUUAAGAGAAAUUUGUUUUAAAAUACCCCCGUAGCCAAUAUCAGAGGCAUCUGUUUCCACUAUGUUCUGCCAAUUCGGAUUGGCUAAAGUGAGGCAGGGUAGGUUAUUAACCGUUGUCUUAAUGUUAUUGACUGCUUUAGUAUGAUUAUCAGUCCAAGCUUUAGGAUUUUUUCUAAGUCUAUCAUAUAGUAUAGUUGUGUCUUUAGACAAAUCUUUUAUAAAAAGAGAGAUGUAAUUUAAACUAACCAAGAAUCAUUGGAUCUAAGUUUUAUCAGUAAUAACAUCAGGGAAUUUUGAAGCAAACUCUAUACUUCUUUAGAUGGGAAUAAUUUUUCCUUUUUCAAUAUUAUGGCCUAAGAAUCUAACAUUAGUUUGUAAAAUAUGCAUUUUUGGUCUAGAUAUAACCAAAUCAUUCUGAAUAAUAAUUUUCUUAAAUAGAUCAAGAUGUUUAAAAUGCAUUUAUAUGGUUUUUGGAAAUACCAAAAUAUCAUCUAUACAUACGAUGAUAAAAUUGCUAAAGGGCUUAAAAAAUAUCAUUCAUAAUUUUUUGAAAUUUCGAAGGAGCAUUUCUUUAUUCAAAAGGCAUAAUAUUCCAUUCAUAUUAUCCCAUUGGGACGUUAAAGGCUGUCUUAUAUUUAUCUUCUUCAUAAAUUCGAAUUUGCCAAUAACUUGAUUUUAAAUCAAAAUUUGAAAAUAUGAUAGCUUCAUGAAGUCGAUCCAAUAAAUCUUUUUUAUUGGGGAUAGAAUAUCUGAUCCAUUUUAAAACUUUAUUUAGCGGUUUAUAAUUUAUGACAAGUCCAGGUACUCCUUUCUCUUAUUCUGCUUGUUUAUUAACAUAAAAAGCAGUACAAGACCAUGAAGAUUUUGAGGGUUUUAUUGAACCCUUUUGGAGAAGAUUAUCAAUCUCUUUUUAAUAUAAAUUUAGAUAUUUCGAAUUUAUUUGGCAUGGUCUUGCCUUAGUAGGAAUAUUAUCUUUUAAAAAUUCUUCUUCAUAAGGAAGACUCACCACAUGCGAGUCCUUUCCCAAAUACAUUUGGGUGGUCACCACAUAUUUGUAGAGAGAAUUGACUCUUCAAAAUCUCAAUGUUUCCUUGGAUUUUAGGAUUUUGUAAAGUCUCUUCAAUUGUAAGAUUACAAAUUGCAUUUUAAAGAAAAUCAAUUUGUUUAUUUUUUAAAGAGAUCAUAUCUUUAACCUCAUUAACGAAUUUUGAAAAUGGUUGAGAUAUCAAAUCUAUUCUUAUUUUUCUUCCUUCGAAAUUACCAGUAAUUUCGUUCUCAUUCCAUGAAGUUGUAGGAUAUAUAUGCCAGUAAAAAGUCAUUCCUUGAAUGAUUUCGUUAGAAAUAUUUUUUAUUAACAAAGCUUUCAGGCAUACAUAUAUUAUUUGUACAUAUAUAUGCUUUAGGAAUUUUAUAUUCAAUAUCCAUUUUAUGACCACAAGCAUUACAAAGACUAUGUGUAGUCUUUUUAAAAUAUCUUGAUGAAAUUAAUCCUUCUUGAAUGCAAUUUAAAUCAGCUCCACUAUUAGAGCAAUAAAAUCCUUUUUUAGGUUAUAAUCAAUAAAAAGAGUAAUUUUUGCUAAAGGUUUAUGUGCUGUAAUUAGCUCAAUAGUUUCUAAAAAUAAUUCUCAUUAUCAAUAGACUCACUAGGGAUGUCAGGAAGAUUACUUUUUGGAACAUUAUAGGAGGAUCAUCUUCAGCUCUGACAUGUUUUCUAUGAUGAUUUUUGUCCUUACUUUCUAUAUAAGUAAUUCUUUCAUCAAUAAUCAUAUUAUGGUUUUUGAGAAAAAGAUAUUUCUUUUUUUGAGAUUAUUUAUCUCCUCAACCAAGUCUUGGAUUGUAGUAGGAAUGUGAUCCAUUUGAGACCUCAGUUUUAGUUGUCUUCUAACCUCUGCCAUGGUAUAAACAUUAUUAUGAAUAGGAUUUUCUUUAGGAAUUCUAGUAUUACUAGUAGAGGUGCUGGUAUUACCAAUUUUGUCGAUAAUUUGGGAACUUAAUGUUGGGUCAUCAAUCAUCCUAAGAAUUUAUAUUCAAUUGUCAUUACUUAUAACAUCGAUGUUUGAGUCCUUGAACUGAGAGUAUAACUGAUAGAAUUCAUCCUUAUCUUUAUCAAAAGGUUGGCCAAUCUUGCAAGACGUACAUUCUUCCUCAGAUGAGGACAUGUAGUCUUGUUCAUGAUGAACUUUUAGGUCUUCACUAGUAGAGGAUCCCUCUCCGUCACUAUUAUUAGAACUUAAAUUUUAUGAAGAGGAAUUUGAUGUACCGUAGUUUUACGAUAAUUUUAGUGCUUUUUCCUUAGGUUUCGUAUGUGUCUAAAGCUUUUUUGUAUUAGUUUUAAUGUAUUUUCACUUUGUUUGCAGGAAAUCUGUCUAGAAUGAAAACGCGAAUGAAUUAUGCUGAAACUGCAAAAGUGACUACCAACGUAGCUAUCGACGGUCCAUUAGUGGCCACCAUCGUAUGAAGGAAAAGAAUUGAAUGAAGAUUGGGGAAUUCUGACUAAGUGUGGCGAUACGGAGGCUCUCGACGGACCGUCAUCUCCACGACGGAUCUUGCUUCACAUCCGUCAUCGUCAACAGAAAGUAGCCCCAAUACCCAUCUUGAAAAGAAGCAAAUUUCGGAGUGGACCACGACGGUUCAUCGUGGACUUGACGACCGUCAUCUAGGUUUUUGACUCAGACGCGGUUUUUGGGCAGAUUUUUCUUAAAUAGAUUUCCCUAUUUUAUUAGGACUAGUAUUAUAAAUACUUGUAAAAACCUCAUUUUUGAGGUUAGACUCUUGGGUAUUUUUUAGAUUUUAUUAUUCUAGUUGUGAACUUGUGAUUUUGGGAAAUUAUUCUAUUUUUUGGAAAUCGUUUAUUGCAAGCUUAUUGAUUAAUUCAAGUAAUUUUCUG
RNAcentral lists this long non-coding RNA (4704 nucleotides) under Solanum lycopersicum (tomato). RNAcentral's name for it is "long non-coding RNA (SLYC_LNC000198)". The record is from RNAcentral. Lineage: Eukaryota; Viridiplantae; Streptophyta; Magnoliopsida; Solanales; Solanaceae.